RNAcentral lists this long non-coding RNA (3144 nucleotides) under Papio anubis (olive baboon). RNAcentral describes it as "lncRNA (ENSPANG00000044609.1)". Lineage: Eukaryota; Metazoa; Chordata; Mammalia; Primates; Cercopithecidae. The record is from RNAcentral.
UUUUAAAAAAAAAAAAUACUGAUGCUCAGUCUCAACCUCAAACUGAAGAAAUUAGAAUUCCUGCGAGUCAAGUGUUUCUAAAGUGCUCCCUAGGUGAUUCUAACAUGCAACUAGCACUGAGAACUGCAGACCAGUCCAACAUCUUCAUUUUAGUGAGAUGAAGAAGUCAGAAAAAGAGAGAUGCCAGAGGCAGGGAGGAGGAGUGUAUCAUGUAAUUUGGGUCCAAUAAGGGCACAGUCAACUGUAUUAAAAUGCUUAAGAAGUAGAGAAGGACGAGUACCAAGAAAAGGUCAUCAAAUUUAGUAAUGAGGAUGAUACUGUUGGACUUACAGGCACAAACAACAGAACAAAACCAGCUCAUAGACUCUCUCACCACUAGCUAAGACGAUGAACAAAAUACCGUGGACAAACACAGAAGCCAAAAGGAAACAAUAAACAUUUCCCAGUUGCAACUUAACAAGGAAAAAGGAACAACUUCUUAUUAUAUACUUUGAAAAAGAAGCAUCAGCCAGGUGCACUGGCUCACGCCUGUAAUCCCAGCACUUUGGGAGGCCGAGGUGGGUGGAUCACCUGAGGUCAGCAGUUCAAGACCAUCCUGGCCAACAUGGCGAAACCCCAUCUCUACUAAAAAUACAAAAAUUAGCUGGGCGUGGUGGCACGUGCCUGUAAUCCCAGCUACACAGGAGGCUGAGACAGGAGAAUUGCUUGAACCCAGGAGGUGGAGGUUGCAGUGAGCUGAGAUCGUACCACUGCACUCCAGCCUGGGUGACAAAGCGAGAAAGAAAAAAAGAGAGAGAGAGAGAGAGAGAGAGAAAGGAAGAAAAGAAAGAGAGAGAAGCAUCAAGGGAAAAACCAAAAGAUUCUGCAGUGGUACAAUAUGGUGUGGCUUCUGCCUGCUUUCCUCUCCCCAGAAACACCAUGGUGGAAGAAGGGAUUCCAAGGCCAAAAAGAAAAUUAAGUGAAAAGAAAAUUAAAGGUGAAAAGAAGACAACAUGCAAAAGGUGGAAAAAGAACCACAUCUGGAAGAAAACAUAAUCAAGAAAUAGAUUUCCUGUGCAUGCAUCAUGCAACAGGGGCACUUUAUUUCAAAAAAUAAUUGUUUUAUUCCAGAAGGGUUUAACACUCUUGGAGAAAAGAGAUUUAGAGGAGUGGUGAGACAGAAACCAGAUGCCAGGCUAGGCGUGGUGGCUCACGCCUGUAAUCCCAGCACUUUGGGAGGCCAAGGUAAGCAGAUCACAUGAGGCCAAGAGUACAAGACGAGCCUGGCCAACAUGGUGAAACCCCAUCUCCACUAGAAAUACAAAAAAUUAACUGGGCAUGGUGAUGCACACCCAUGGUCCCAGCUACUUGGGAGACUGAAGUGGGAGAAUCGCUUAAGCCCAGGAAACAGAGGCCACAGUGAGCCAAGAUCAUACCACUGCACUCCAGCCUAGAAAACAGAGCAAGACUCUGCCUCAAUUUCAAAAAAAAAAAAAAAGAAAGAAAAGAAAAAGAAAAACAGAUCCCAGAGAGCAAAGGUAAGGCUUAUUCAGGAUAAAUAAAAAGGAAAAACAGAAGUUUGAGAGCUACUUAUUUGAGAAAAAGAGGGGAUUAUUAUUAUUUUUGUUAUUUUUUUAAUCAUGAGAUGGAAUCAUUGAGCAUAUUUGUAGGAGAGAGAAAAUAAGUGUCAGAAAGUCUUAAAAAAAAAAAAAAAAAAAAAGGAAAUUCUGACACACACCACUCCCUGGAUGAACCUUGAAGACAUUGUGCUAAGUGAAACAAGCCAGUCACGAAAAGACAAACAUUGUAUGAUUCCACUGAUCUAAAGUACCCUGAGUAGUCAAAUUAGUAGAGUCAGAAAGUAGAACAAGGAUUGCCAGGGGCUGGGGAAGGGGAAAUGGGGAGUUGUUUAAUGAUACAAAGUUUCAUGUUUGCAAGAUGAAAAGGGUUCUGGAGAUCCUUUGCACAGCAAUGUGAACAUACUGAACAUGACUGUACACUUAAAAUGGUUAAGAUGGUAAAUGUUAUGUUAUAUGCUUUUUACCAUAAUUAAAAAUAAAUAUAUAAAUAAAUAAAAUAGAAAGUCUUAAGGUUCAAAUAGCCACUUUUGUCACCUCACUCUCAUGGUGGCAACUCAUCUGUUCAAGGUGAUUUCCGUCCUCUCUGAUGGAAAGGAAUCCUAUUGGAUCCAGCCUGACUUUGACCAUAUGCUGAAGCCACACUGUAGAAGAUAACUUGGACUACAUCAUUUAAAAAUAAUAACUUUUCAUCAUAAGUUGAUAAUAGAUGACAAGUACUAUACCACAACUUAAUCUGUAUUUAUAUCACUCAGUGUUAAUUACCUGGUUGUGGCACAGCUCGCUGUAGAAUCUAAAAGCGUUGUCUAUGUUCAUUAGCAGGAAAAUAAACUGCAGCCUCUGUACUGAGCAACAGCUUUGCUUUCUCAUGCAUAACUGUUUGGAAGAAACCCCAAAACUCCAGUAUCCAUACAAGUCCUGGAAUUCUCGCAGAUGAAUUUUCAAGAUAAUCCUUAUUCAUUUUGUAGCAAUUCCUCCUCUGUACACCCAUUUCCUGUUUGAUUAUUUUUAGCAUUACUCAAGCUGAAGAUUCUACUCUGUUGGUAACAAGCUAUACCCUCAAAUUGCUCUUUAAGGUGGUCGGCAAGGCUCUUUAAUUUAAGAACAUCCAGAAAUCUCAAAUUGAGAGGAUGAGACCCCGGGAAUAGAUCACCUAAAAGAUGAAUGGAAUGGGCUUCUCAUCUCUCCUGUGUGCAAUAUACAGAAAGAAUUUUCACCGUAUUUAAUUGCCUUUCCCUCUCGUUGAUAUCUGGCUCUUUAAAGGAGUGCAAGAUAGUUAGUUAAAAAAGAAAAAAUGCCUGUACCCAUGGCAACCUCUGAUGAAAAGGACCAGCAGCUAUUUCCAAGGAUAGGUGGUUUAGAUGAAAGACCUGAAGCUAUGAUAGGUCAGCCAACAUAGAAAGCAAAUGUGUGGUGUACCAUAAGAGCAUUCCUUCCAGGAGAGGAGUGUUUUGGGAUUGAAGAUAUCCCAAGUGGCCUCUUUAAAACCCCAAUCGAUGUAAUAGUUUACAAACAGCACUGUAUCAUAAUGAGCAUAAACAUUUCUAUGGAUAACACAAUUUUCAUUUCUAUCUAUUUUCAUAAUUGC